UACGUAGGGGGCAAGCGUUGUCCGGAAUCAUUGGGCGUAAAGCGCGCGUAGGCGGCCCGGUAAGUCCGCUGUAAAAGUCCAGGGCUCAACCCUGGAAAGCCGGUGGAUACUGUCGGGCUAGAGUCCGGAAGAGGCGAGCGGAAUUCCUGGUGUAGCGGUGGAAUGCGCAGAUAUCAGGAGGAACACCCGUAGCGAAGGCGGCACUCUGGGCCGUGACUGACGCUGAGGCGCGAAAGCCAGGGGAGCGAACGGG
Molecule: ribosomal RNA, 253 nt
Filed under: uncultured bacterium
Lineage: Bacteria
Description: partial 16S ribosomal RNA
Rfam family: Bacterial small subunit ribosomal RNA
Source: RNAcentral